Molecule: ribosomal RNA, 1397 nt
Filed under: uncultured bacterium
Lineage: Bacteria
Description: 16S ribosomal RNA
Rfam family: Bacterial small subunit ribosomal RNA
Source: RNAcentral
AGAGUUUGAUCCUGGCUCAGGAUGAACGCUAGCGGCAGGCUUAACACAUGCAAGUCGAGGGGCAGCGGGGAGGAAGCUUGCUUUCUCCGCCGGCGACCGGCGCACGGGUGAGUAACACGUAUCCAACCUGCCUUAUACUCCCGGACAGCCUUCUGAAAGGAAGAUUAAUACGGGAUGGUAUCACGGGCCAGCAUUUUCUCGUGAUUAAAGAAUUUCGGUAUAAGAUGGGGAUGCGUUCCAUUAGAUAGUAGGCGGGGUAACGGCCCACCUAGUCGACGAUGGAUAGGGGUUCUGAGAGGAAGGUCCCCCACAUUGGAACUGAGACACGGUCCAAACUCCUACGGGAGGCAGCUGUGAGGAAUAUUGGUCAAUGGGCGCGAGCCUGAACCAGCCAAGUAGCGUGAGGGAAGACUGCCCUAUGGGUUGUAAACCUCUUUUAUGCGGGGAUAAAGGUGUCCACGUGUGGAUGUUUGCAGGUACCGCAUGAAUAAGGACCGGCUAAUUCCGUGCCAGCAGCCGCGGUAAUACGGAAGGUCCGGGCGUUAUCCGGAUUUAUUGGGUUUAAAGGGAGCGUAGGCCGGUCUUUAAGCGUGCCGUGAAAUUUUGUGGCUCAACCAUGAGAGUGCGGCGCGAACUGGAGACCUUGAGUGCGCGGAAGGCAGGCGGAAUUCGUGGUGUAGCGGUGAAAUGCUUAGAUAUCACGAAGAACCCCGAUUGCGAAGGCAGCCUGCCGCAGCGUUACUGACGCUGAAGCUCGAAAGCGCGGGUAUCGAACAGGAUUAGAUACCCUGGUAGUCCGCGCGGUAAACGAUGGAUGCCCGCUGUCGGCGAUAUACAGUCGGCGGCCAAGCGAAAGCGUUAAGCAUCCCACCUGGGGAGUACGCCGGCAACGGUGAAACUCAAAGGAAUUGACGGGGGCCCGCACAAGCGGAGGAACAUGCGGUUUAAUUCGAUGAUACGCGAGGAACCUUACCCGGGCUUGAAUUGCAGAGGAAAGAUCCAGAGAUGGUGAUGCCCUUCGGGGCCUCUGCGAAGGUGCUGCAUGGUUGUCGUCAGCUCGUGCCGUGAGGUGUCGGCUUAAGUGCCAUAACGAGCGCAACCCCUUUCCCUAGUUGCCAUCGGUUCUAGCCGGGCACUCUGGGGACACUGCCUCCGCAAGGAGUGAGGAAGGUGGGGAUGACGUCAAAUCAGCACGGCCCUUACGUCCGGGGCUACACACGUGUUACAAUGGGUGAUACAGAGGGCCGGCCGCUGGCAUCAUCGGUCCAAUCCUUAAAGUCAUCCUCAGUUCGGACUGGGGUCUGCAACCCGACCCCACGAAGCUGGAUUCGCUAGUAAUCGCGCAUCAGCCAUGGCGCGGUGAAUACGUUCCCGGGCCUUGCACUCACCGCCCGUCA